This 721-nucleotide long non-coding RNA is filed under the name Dermacentor andersoni. RNAcentral describes it as "uncharacterized LOC126518968". The record is from RNAcentral. Lineage: Eukaryota; Metazoa; Arthropoda; Arachnida; Ixodida; Ixodidae.
UAAACGUUGUUGCGGCGGCCCGGGCGGUCGAUGUGGUACUGAUCGUUUGAUCUUAUUUACGCGGUGCGUAGAGAACAUGUGCUCCUUUUUUGUGUGAAUUAACGAUCACUAAGCCCUGGGUCCUGUGCAAUGCUAUUAGCUCGCUGUAUGUUUCUUGCGGUGCGCCGUUGUUGAUUAUCGUAGUGCGGUCCACACGCGCUUUCUUUGUGCCCGGCUCAUGAGAAGUGUUGUACUCUCGCCGCUCCCGCAUCGGCUCACAGUGCACGGAAGAAUGUGUUGAUAGUUGUGCUAUCGCGUGCUGUAGUUAACCGCAAUUCAACACUACGCUGGACGGACUGUUGGUGCAGUCGAUGCGGCGUGAACGGACACGAAGGAGCGCUCGCCUCAGAAGGGAUGUCACAAUUUCCUGAGACGGAGGCAUCUCUGCACCACAAAGGAGACUGCGGCACUAUGCAGCCUGAACAGCACGACAAAGCAUCUGAUCUGCCUGCUUUGACAAGAUGUGGCUGGGCCUGCAGAAAGAGUGUAAGCACACUACUGUGUUGCAGAUCAGUGCUGGUGCUGAUCUCUACGUCUGAGUUGGCCUCACAACGUCCAGGCGCCACUGUGCUUUGCUUCAUUGACAAGGUAAUAUGAUAUAGACACCUUGCACCUCAGUAUCAGUUUUGAGAAAUAUGCUAAGACACAAGGGUUGGCCUUGGUGAUAAAUACACUCGUGUUC